CCCGCCACUACGCCGGCCCCCCCGUGACCGGCCGGAGUCCAGUGGAGGCUCAGAGCGACCCGGCUUUAGGAAACAGAGCGGCUCCUCUGCGGUGGGCCGCCCUGUGCCGAAAAGCCCGGAACACGC
This 126-nucleotide small nucleolar RNA is filed under the name Salarias fasciatus (jewelled blenny). Its description in RNAcentral is "Small nucleolar RNA SNORA65 (ENSSFAG00005026333.1)". It matches the Rfam family "Small nucleolar RNA SNORA65". Rfam says of the family: U65 belongs to the H/ACA class of snoRNAs which are thought to guide the sites of modification of uridines to pseudouridines. The record is from Rfam by way of RNAcentral. Lineage: Eukaryota; Metazoa; Chordata; Actinopteri; Blenniiformes; Blenniidae.